CGGCAGCGCGGGGCAACCUGGYGGCGAGUGGCGAACGGGUGAGUAAUAUAUCGGAACGUACCCUGGAGUGGGGGAUAACGUAGCGAAAGUUACGCUAAUACCGCAUACGAUCUAAGGAUGAAAGCAGGGGACCGCAAGGCCUUGUGCUCCUGGAGCGGCCGAUAUCUGAUUAGCUAGUUGGUAGGGUAAAAGCCUACCAAGGCAUCGAUCAGUAGCUGGUCUGAGAGGACGACCAGCCACACUGGAACUGAGACACGGUCCAGACUCCUACGGGAGGCAGCAGUGGGGAAUUUUGGACAAUGGGCGCAAGCCUGAUCCAGCAAUGCCGCGUGAGUGAAGAAGGCCUUCGGGUUGUAAAGCUCUUUUGUCAGGGAAGAAACGGUGGGGGCUAAUAUCCUUCACUAAUGACGGUACCUGAAGAAUAAGCACCGGCUAACUACGUGCCAGCAGCCGCGGUAAUACGUAGGGUGCAAGCGUUAAUCGGAAUUACUGGGCGUAAAGCGUGCGCAGGCGGUUUUGUAAGUUUGUCGUGAAAUCCCCGGGCUCAACCUGGGAAUGGCGAUGAAGACUGCAAGGCUAGAAUCUGGCAGAGGGGGGUAGAAUUCCACGUGUAGCAGUGAAAUGCGUAGAGAUGUGGAGGAACACCGAUGGCGAAGGCAGCCCCCUGGGUCAAGAUUGACGCUCAUGCACGAAAGCGUGGGGAGCAAACAGGAUUAGAUACC
This 722-nucleotide ribosomal RNA is filed under the name Massilia sp. RNAcentral describes it as "bacterial SSU rRNA". It matches the Rfam family "Bacterial small subunit ribosomal RNA", at positions 67 to 786 of the family's 1533-position model. Lineage: Bacteria; Pseudomonadati; Pseudomonadota; Betaproteobacteria; Burkholderiales; Oxalobacteraceae. The record is from RNAcentral.